This 730-nucleotide ribosomal RNA is filed under the name Enterobacter sp. RNAcentral's name for it is "bacterial SSU rRNA". It matches the Rfam family "Bacterial small subunit ribosomal RNA", at positions 28 to 749 of the family's 1533-position model. Lineage: Bacteria; Pseudomonadati; Pseudomonadota; Gammaproteobacteria; Enterobacterales; Enterobacteriaceae. The record is from RNAcentral.
AUUGAACGCUGGCGGCAGGCCUAACACAUGCAAGUCGAGCGGUAGCACAGGGAGCUUGCUCCUGGGUGACGAGCGGCGGACGGGUGAGUAAUGUCUGGGAAACUGCCUGAUGGAGGGGGAUAACUACUGGAAACGGUAGCUAAUACCGCAUAACGUCUUCGGACCAAAGAGGGGGACCUUCGGGCCUCUUGCCAUCAGAUGUGCCCAGAUGGGAUUAGCUAGUAGGUGGGGUAAUGGCUCACCUAGGCGACGAUCCCUAGCUGGUCUGAGAGGAUGACCAGCCACACUGGAACUGAGACACGGUCCAGACUCCUACGGGAGGCAGCAGUGGGGAAUAUUGCACAAUGGGCGCAAGCCUGAUGCAGCCAUGCCGCGUGUAUGAAGAAGGCCUUCGGGUUGUAAAGUACUUUCAGCGAGGAGGAAGGCAUUGUGGUUAAUAACCACAGUGAUUGACGUUACUCGCAGAAGAAGCACCGGCUAACUCCGUGCCAGCAGCCGCGGUAAUACGGAGGGUGCAAGCGUUAAUCGGAAUUACUGGGCGUAAAGCGCACGCAGGCGGUCUGUCAAGUCGGAUGUGAAAUCCCCGGGCUCAACCUGGGAACUGCAUUCGAAACUGGCAGGCUAGAGUCUUGUAGAGGGGGGUAGAAUUCCAGGUGUAGCGGUGAAAUGCGUAGAGAUCUGGAGGAAUACCGGUGGCGAAGGCGGCCCCCUGGACAAAGACUGACGCUCA